AGAGGAUGCACUGUGCUGACCCUACAGUCCUCCAUUAUACUGAUAUUUGCCCUGGUUCGUGCCUCCACACAAAGGUCAGUCGAAUUAAGGCUCUGGCCUGGUCAGGAGACUCUGUUUUCAAUUUAUCCUCUUUCGCCAGACUGGGACCUGGGCAGGCAGCACAAGAACCUCGGGAUCAGACCCUAGACCCCUCGGUUGCAAGGCUGCCAAGGGAACUACAAUUCCCAGUAUGCCUCAGGGUAUUUCCGGUCUAUGGACUUACGGAGGCGAGUUUGAAUUUGUGUUCCCGCCCCCUCCUGCUCGCGGACCCCGCCUCUUCCCCCUCUCUCGCCGCCCCGCCCCUUCCAUGCACACACAUGCACAUGCAUAUUCAGUCAACCGUCCACACCAACAUACCUUGCCUGCAGCUGGCACGGGGGAUGGGGGCACCGGCGUGCGACUUGUAGGGAGGCUGGAGCGCACUGGGAGCAAACCUGGCGGCUGCUGCCUAAGACCUGGUCUUGGGAAUCCACGCCGCCUUGCACUGAGCAGGUCUCCUUCACACACUGCCUUUCAAGCUGCAUUUCCUUACUUUCCCCCAUUCCCGAUACCACCCCUCAGUCAGGCGGAUUACCGACUUCAGCUCUGGAACUCCCAGUCUGUCAGGUACAGCAGGGAUGUAACCUCUCAGCAUGUACCUCCCUCCCCUUAUCCCUUCUUUUCUGUUCCCUGUCAGUCGCCCAGACUCAAGCCUUGCAGCCUCUUCUUCUCCUCACCUACCGACUUCACCCUAUCGUACUCCAGUGUCUCCACCCCUACAGCCCCAACCUCCUAGCUCCCACACUCUCAGCUGUUGUCCUCUAACCUCAGGGUCCUGAUACCCAGCUGGAAGGCCAGUGCCCAGCUCCAGCCCUUGCCCUUAGCCCCUGGCCUCCAGCCUUGGGUACUCAGCCCUGAGUCUGCCAUUGUAAAUCCUUACUCUUUUCCCAGGAGGACUGGACAGCUAUAGCAUGCCUAAACCCUAUGACGCUCUGGACUAGAGACUGAAACUGACAAAAACUUAAGGGUGGAGGGCCUGGGGGAGGUGCUCAUUGGGGUUCGGGUGCAGUUGCUUGUUAUUUUUAGCUGCUGACUCACUGCUCCUGGCAUCCGGGUUUGGGGCUAGCAGGCUGGGCUAGGGGGCUAUUAAUAGAGCAGAGGCACAGCCCCGACCCAGUUCAAUUUGGAAACACAGGGAGCCAGGAUCCUCUUCUCUGCCAUCCUGUCUUGUGGAAUGUUGGGGACUGAGGGCAGUGGCUGGGCCAGAUGCUCUCUAGCUGCCAGUUACCUCUGGCUAGUAUCACUACCUUGGAACUCUUGGGGGAAAGCCCACAAGGAAACUCCUGGGCACAGCUCUCCCCUGAGCUUGCCAUGGCUUGGGGCUGUGCCACAGGAAGCUUCUGUUGUACUAGCUGAGAGGGCAAGUUCUAAUGGAGAGGUUAUUAAACAGCCAUGGCCUUGGCCUGCCUGGACCUACUCCUGGGCCAGAAUGCUCAGUUGCUGGGAGGAUAAAGCUGUGGAUUUCUGGUUGCCAAAGACUCUCAUAAAGACAAGGUACUUCAGCACAGAGCCAGGUAUCCCCAAACCAGACAGAACUAGGAAGCUACUGAAUACCAUGUUUACCACUCUCUCUUGUUAUUUCUUUCCCUCUUGUUGGGCUGUGUCCCUACUCACAGGGGUCUGCCAACCUCAUGAUCUCUCCCGUCUUAGUGGAGAAAUCUAAUUCAGGAAAGUCACUGAGAAUUUUGUCCCCACAGAGGUAUGAAUGAUCCUUUAUAUUGUCAUUCCCAUGGGGCCUUCUUAUUUUAAUGGGUUAAAGUUGGACUUUCCUAAUUGGGAGUGUUUGGGAAAUAUUGAUACAGGACUGAUCACCAAAAUUAUUCCCACCCACUCUCAAUUUGUCAGAAUUCUCAUUGAACCCACAAUAAUGCCCAUCCUCCACUUCUUGUGAACCAGAAACUUCUGCCUUCAGCGACCUGGGUUUUCAGAUUCCAGAAGAAACCACAUUUGGGGCAAGUGAGAUCCGUUUCUCCACACACAGACUGAGGUCACCUGAUGAAGCUCUGUUUUCAAGAAUGAGCUCAGAUUAUAUGACAACAGCAAGCAGCGCCGCCCCAACCCCGUCUAUUUGCUGAAGGCGCGGAAGAGGCGGUGGAAGGAGAGAAAUGGUCUCUCUCCCGACAAAUCCCUUUCCUGAACUCCAUUGCCUGUCUCAGCGCAGGCCGCGCGGUCACCUAGCAACCACAGCCGCCUGCAGGGGCGUAGAGAACGCUUUCCACCCAUAGGGGGCGCCGACCUCCCUGGGGCCUCUGGCUGGAGCCCUAGCAGUUGGGAGUGGGGGGGCUGGUCUCUGGUUAAGCGUCAGAGUCCCAGUGUUGUUGAUCUCCUUGGCUUAUCUGUGGGGUUCAUUCUAAGUGUUCAAGAGCCUGUGGAGUGGAGAGAAGCUUACUAUGAAUCUGAAGGGAGUUUACUUGGAUUCAUUAAAAAAUGAAAAGAGGAAAGGAAGAAGAAUAGAAGGAGGGGAGGGAGGAGUCAAAGGGAAUGAGGCAAGACAAAAUUGGGAGAAAAAAUUGACCCUCUCUAUUCACUUCAGGCUUCCCAAUACUUAAUUCCUCUAUCAGAGAAGUUCAGAAGGUCCAGGCUCUCUGGGACUUUUUUUUUUUCCUGAACCACUUUUAGGAUGUAGAAAGGAGUUUAGCACUCUUUAUUAGCAAACUGCUGAGCUUAUACGACACUUCAAGCUCCCUAGUUACCAGACUAAUCUAGACUUGGCCAUUAAGAAAGAUAGUCGUUCAUUCAUUCAUUCGUAUAUUCAACAAUAAUAAUUAACACUAACCUACUAUGAGGUAUGUUAAGCGUUCUACAUUUAAUCUUCACAAAAAUGCUAUGAUUAUUUCCAUUUCACAGAUUUAAAGAACUGAGUCUCAGAGAAGUAAUGCCCAAGGUCACACAACUGGUGACUGGGUUGGGUCUGACUGAACAACCACUGUGAGUCAAAAUCUAAGAAGACAGAAAACACGACACUUCUCUCUUUUGUCUACUUAAUGAACACCUAGUCCCAAACUAAAGAUGUCAACCCCUUUUUGAAACUCUUCUUAAGUCCUUCCCCACCCAGGUAAAGUUGAUAACUUGCUUUUCUGUGCACCCCUCUGAAAUAGCACUUUUCAUUGAUAUUACAAUGAUCUAAUUCUGUAUUUCUAUUUCUCUAACUUUUAGCAUGUUGGCAGCAGGGUUGUGUUCAUCUCCACUUGGAUGUCUAGUAGACAUCUCAAAUUCAACAUGUCCAAAUCUGAUCUUUCCCCCCAAAAUGACCACUCCUAAAGUCCUCAUUACAAUCAAUAGCCAUUUCACCUUCCCAGUUGCUCUGCAAAAAAAAAAAAAAAAAUCCUUGAAAGCAACCACAUCUUGUGGUUUCAGCAAAUCCUGCAUCUGUCCCUUCAAAAUAUACCCAGAAACCAACCACUUCUCAUCACCUCCAGUGUUGCCACCUGUUCCAAGCCACUAUUACCUUUCAGUAAGAUCACUUCAGUAGCGUCCUGACUAGUCUCACUGCCUCUACCCUUACACCUUGCAGCCUCUUGUCCGCAAAGAAACUGGACCAAUCCAGAUAAAACCAGAUCAGAGCAUGUCAGUUCUCUGCACAAAACCCUCAUAUGACUCCCUGUCUUGAAGAGUAAAGCCGAGGGUUGGGGCUGUGGAUCAGAGGUAGAGUGCUCGCCUACCAUGCGUGAGGCACUGGGUUUGUUCCCCAACACCACAUAAAAAAAUAAAAUAAAGAUAUUUUAAAAUGUAAAGCCAAUACUCUUACAAUGAUCUUCAAGGCCCUAUGUACCUUAUUGAAUUUCUGAUCUUGUCUCCGGCUAUUCUCACACUCUCUCACACUUACAUCCACUGGGUCCUCACUUCUGUUCCUUGAAUAGGCCAGGUACACUCUUACAUAGGACUUUUGCACUGGCUGUUCCCUUGCUAGGUUUACUCUUCUGCAUAGUACACUUCCUGACUGGCCACAAGUCUCUGCUCAAAUGCCAACUUCUUGGUGAGGUUUAUCCUCACUAACCUAUUUAAUAUUCCCUCUAUUCUAAUUUCUAGGUUACAGUAAAUACAGGGUAUAAAGGAACAAGAUAAAUGACAACAUGAAGGGGGAAAAACAGACAAAUCCAGACUGUAGGAUAUUCUAUAAAACAACUGACUUGUACUCUUC
This 4219-nucleotide long non-coding RNA is filed under the name Marmota monax (woodchuck). Lineage: Eukaryota; Metazoa; Chordata; Mammalia; Rodentia; Sciuridae. The record is from RNAcentral.